AUUUUUUCAAUGUGGCUCUUUGCCUUGGGGAAGUUUUUUGGUUGUGUUACAAUCUGAUUAUUGAAAUUGUCAUGCAGAUACAUAGGCAUUGUAAGAGAUGUGAAUAUACUAUAAAUGCUCUCUGUAAGCUUGUAGUAUAUGCGAAGUCUCUUUAGGUAGGAAUAUAGUUGCCACCUUAAGCUAAAUGGGUUUUAUUAACAUAAUGCAGAGCUUUAUGAGGGGGAAAAAAGGUUAAAAGUUCCCUCAGAAAUUUGCAGGCUUUUUAUUCUUUUCUGUCCAUAUGUUAAGUUAUAAAACGCUCCAGAAAAGCAAGAAAACGUUUCUUUGACCAGUUCAAGUUCUACAUUAUCUCCUCACAAGAUGAUCAGUUGAAGUUUGCUAAAUACAGAGAGUAUAGGAUCAAUGCUUUGUUGCUCUAUGACUAUUAAGCCCUAAAACUUACAUGUAUUUUGGAGUUAUUCCAGGAAACGAGGACGGCAUUGAACCACGUAUUGAUCUUAAGGUCUAUACCUUUGAUGAUCUUCUCUUUUCUAGUCUACCUAAUCUUGAUUGAUUACAUACUAUUUGGAGAAAAAUUUACCAUCCUGAGUUUAAAACUGAGACGUUUCCAUUUAUGGCUUCAGGGAUACAUACUCGGAAAUCCAGUAACGAAGGUUUCAGGAUUCUGAACUAUAGGGUUCCGUUUGCUUAUGGGAUGGGGCUGAUUUCUGAUGAACUCUAUGAGGUAACUUAUUUCUUUUGUUUGUUACCUAUUGAUAUCUCAGAACACUGUCAUUUGUCACAUGCAUUCUUACAAUGUAAAAUUACCCGUGAUUUUCUAAUUGACCUGUAUAUUUACAAUGCAGUCCUUGAAGGUUAGCUGUAAAGGGGAAUAUGAAAUCAUAGAUCCCAGUAAUGCUGUGUUCGAAAAAUAUGCAGGCAUACAAUGAGGCAAGCAACCAUAUCUAUGCAAUUUUUAUGUGACUAUAUUUUCAAAAAUUAGGCAAGGCCUAAUGGAUUUACUUAAAGUGCCUCCUAAACUCAAGAAAGAGGGAUAGAGUUAAGGAUUGUCAGUAUAACGUUUCUGAAUAGUGUAAUAUCAUUUGAAGAAGCAGUAAUUCAUUGUAACUUACUCAUACAAUUUCGUAACAGAGUUGCAGUUAAUGUUGGGCUUACACGAGCACUGAUCGAACAUCAUAUUUCUGUUGCGAAAUUGUAGAAGUUAACAAUGAAUUACUCUGAUUUAUUCAAACAAUAACACACUUUCCAGAAACGGUUGUACUGACAAUUGGUUCCUACCCCUUCCCUUUAAUUUGCGGGCUACAAAAGGUGGGAAGAAUCAGAAUAAAGGAACGGGCAACAAGAAUGAUGGUGUAAAUAAUUUCUUCUGCAGUUGGUUCGUAAUAUUGACGAUGAACAGAUCUUGAUGCCCGUAUGUCCUCCUCUUUCACGAGAGCCAAAUAAAUUAUUUACUGGUGGGAGAUCCAUUAUACAAAUGUUGUAUAAGAAGUUUGAAGAGCUAGACGUUCGGGAAUCUACUCCAGUCAAAUGUCGAGUAAGAUACUACUAGUAUCGUUCUAUGUAAACUUGGAUAAGAGCAUCAGUUCUUGGUAGCACAACUGAUCGCCGUUUCUUCUGUUCACUGGCAAUCGUAGAUGGAAUGGUUAAGCUCGUUGAGCACUGGGCUAACAACAAGAGCGUCCAAGAGGCCCUCCAUGUGCGAAGGGUAUGUCUAAAUCGAGCACUAUGGUAUGUAGCAUUUGAAUGCCGAAGCAAGCCUGAACUGAUUUCUGUAAUCACAUUGCAGGAAACUAUCGGACAGUGGUUAAGAUGCAACGAUACCUUGCCAUACACAAAAAAUGCAGGGAGUGUUGUACCAUAUCACGCAAACCUUAGCACUAAAGGUUAUAGAUCCCUUAUAUACAGGUUUGGUAGCUAACUCUGAAUCUUGAUGCAUGUAGGUUAACAGCAGUGAUUUUAAGUACUGAAAGUGGAGUACUUUGUGAUUCAGUGGUGACCAUGAUCUGAUGGUACCGCACAUUGAAACUCAAGCGUGGAUAAGAUCUCUACAUUACCCAAUUAUUGACGAUUGGAGACAGUGGAUUCAUGAAGGCCAAGUUGCCGGGUUUGGUUCAAAAUUGAACAAUGUUUCUUUUCUUGAUUACACCACCAUUAGCACGAGAUAAAAAGAUGACUUUACCCGACUCAUCUAAAUUUGUUCUGUUUUCCUGCCUCCAGUUACACAAGGACUACGCAAAUAAGAUGACAUUUGCAACAGUGAAGGCAAGAAAUUCCUGUUUCUAUUGCUUCAGUGCAAGAUUUGUUCACAUGGUAACGACUAACAACAAGGUUAGAACAUUCUUGGGACUAACUAGCACCCCUUUUUUCUUUUUCUUUUUUUUGGGUGAAGGGAGGAGGCCAUGUUGCUUAUGAGUUGAAGCCUGCCGAAUGCAGAACUAUGCUUGAGAGAUGGAUAUCGCAUCAGCCUCUCUAAUCAGUUGGCAUAUGGAUUAUGAACAUCUUUGAUCACUUCUGCGCAUCAAAUGUGCACUCUUAAUAUAUUAUUUGUAACUUUGGGUCAUGAGACGCUUCUCUCCAUGUCUCCAAUGGAUUGCCUUCUUAUGGAGAUAUGAUUAGUGGAGAAGUGAAUAAAAUGUAGUAGUUAAAAUGGGAAUCACGUUACGCCUCCAAACAUUUCUAUAUGACUGCUGAAGCUUUUACUUUGAAGAUAUGUCAUUGAAUUAAAUUUCCUCUAUUUUGCAAUAAAUAAAAUUUUGAAUUCACAGGAAAGUACCGUUUGCCAAGGAAUUCAAAUAUUAAAAAAAAUUGUUACUCCAUUAAACAUGAAUGGAGGGAAUCUACCAAAGCUUUUAAAAGAUGAAGUGGAGUAGGAAAAGGAAUUUCUUAUAAAUAAUGGAAAAGCAAUUUUCUUGAGAAUACUUUAAAACCAAAAGAAGAUAAAAAAAAAAAUCUCUUAUGUCUGGACUGAUCUAAUCACUUUUUAAGCAAAACUGUGACUCAAAAGUAAUUUAAAAGCCUUUUUUUUGUAGUCCUAAACUACGUGUUGUUGCCAUGGAUGAUCUGGUCAUCGAAACCUUACACUUAGCUAGAUUCGAUUUUUAGAAAUUUAAUUGGCUAGAUUCGAUUGUCAGAAAUUUAAUGGAUCAAAUUGUGUUACGCAUCUCACCAAGUGGUGCGACUUAAUCUGACUAUUGAGUUUUGAAAAUCGAAUCUAUCAAAUUUGGGCUGAACAUAUUAAGGAUAUAAAGAUCUCUCCAUUUAUGAUGAGCCCGGCAACAACGUUCAAAUCAUGUCUAGGACUGAUCUAAUCAUUUUUUAAACAAACUAUGCUCAAAAGUACCUUAAAAUCCCCCUUUUUUUUUAGAUAGUCCUAAAUUACAUGUUUAUGGUCAUGGAUAAUCUGGUCAUCGAAGGCUUACACUUGACUCAUACUUGAGUAAAUUCGAUCUUUAGAAAUUCAAUAGGUCAAAUUGUGCUACCACCUCACCAAGUGAUGCGACUUAAUUUGGACUACUGAAUUUUUCACAACCGGAUCUUCCAUGUUUUGCUGAACUUGUUAAGGUAUCAAGGUCUCUCUAUUAAUGAUGAGCCCGGCGACAUCAUUCAAAUCCUGCUGGUGCUAAGGAGAACGGGGCGCACAUAUGGGUGCAUGGGCUCACGUUUUUGCCUACUCAUAUGGAAAGGACGAAUGCAAGGCUCAUAUGGGAAGACGAGACGUGCCCAAUCAACAGAAACCUCGAGGAGAGAGAAGGUGAAGCGUGACGGAGAAAAAAAACAGAGAAUAGAGUUUGGACAUUCUUAUCAAGUAUUGCGUGGACUAUUUCAAGGUCCUCAACUAUUGAUUUGUACUUUGAUCAAACUUCAAAGGAGGUAGUGCAAAUAACCCUUUAAUGGUUUAAACAAGUCAUUUUCUUUUCUUUUCUUUUUUUCGUUAUUUGAAGGAAAACAUUUACAACAAAAAGGAAAAAAAAACAAAAACAAAAAACAGUUAUGUAAGUGAACUUUACAUGCAUUACAGUUUGUGAUAAGGUACAAUUUUAUCAUUUAUUUUAUUAUUAAUUUUCCCUAUUACCUGACCCAAUGUGGAUUAAUUAUUAGAUUCUAGUCACUUUUCGUAAUUUACAUUUAGGGAAAAUGACAUGUUUCAUCCUUCACAUUUCGUAAAAAUAUUCUUUUCAUCCCUCACUUUUAAAAUGAAACAAAUUCGUCCUUGACAUCUAAGAAUUAAAGUUAUUACAUCCCUGAAUCUAAUUUUCAAUCUGAAUCAAACCAUUCAAUAACCUAGUAAUAAAUUUCGGAAAUAGAAUUGAUAGAUCACUCGAUUAAUUUCAUCAUAUUCACAUGACAUUUAUUCAACCAAAAAAAUAAAAAUUAUAACAUAAAAGACCAUUCUUUGUUCUGGAAUAGUAGAGUUUUUUUUUUUUGGUAAAUCUUUUCAUAUACCGUUAGUAUAUUCGCUUGCGAAUCUAGAUGUGUGUCAUAAAUAUAAAAUUUGGUGUUUAAAUUUAAAUUGAAAUGAUAUGACGGUACAUAAAACUGUCAGUGUAUACAAUGAUAAUGUAAAAAAGAUUAAUCUUUCUUUUUUAUAUUAUAAUUUUUUAUUUUUGGAUUCGUUAAAUUUUACAUGAAUAUCAAGUUGAGUUAACCAAGUGAUCUACCAAUUACACCCCCAAAAUUUGUAAUCAGGUUGAUUGGUAAUUUGAUUCAGAUUGAAAUUUGGGUUCAGGGAUGUAAGAAUUUCAGUUUUUAAAUGUCAAUGACGAAAUUGCUUCGUUUUAAAAGUAAGGGACGAAAAGAAUAUUUUUGUGAAAUGUGAAAGAUGAAACCGAUCAUUUUUCCUUACAUUUAUUUCAGGGAGUAAAAUGAAAAUGCCACAACUAAUGCCAAUUUGACAGUCAUCAGGAAAGAAUUCAAAAAGAAGACACUCAGGGACAAUUUUGGAACAAAAGAGACGCGAGGCCUUUUUAUUCAUUUUGGCCGAAGUCUUCCUGGAAUGGGAGAGCCGCCGCAAAGGAUAUCAAUAAAAGGGGCAGCCGCAAAACAGGAGAGAGGCAUUAGAGUAGGUUUUUAGAUAGGAAAUAAAGUAGAAAACAGGGAGGACUACUCUAGGAAUUGCUUCUGGUUGACUUUUCUUUUGUUGGCUUUUGCUUAGCUUUAACUCUCGUAUGUCAAUUAGGCACAAUUGAAUGAUUCCCUGUAGCUUUUCUCUUGGACGCUGGCUUUUCGUCCUUUGUGGUUGCUUAAAGAUGGCCGUAGCUUUUGCGUCAGUUUUGUAUGGGUUUUUCUCAUCAACAAUGAGCUAAACCCCUUUAUCUAGUCAAGGGACAACGGAUGCUUUGAGUCAUCUAAAAUUGUGAGAUCGAUUUAAUUUUAUCUUUUCCUUUAUUUAUUGGUAUUCGCAUAUUCUUUGAUUUUAGUACUUAUGGUUAUUUAAUUAAUUGAUUGUUUUGGAUUCGGAUAAUUAGUUGAUUGGGUAAUCUAUUGUCAAUUAGGGCAUUAAAUUCGUAAUUGUUUAAUUGCUCUAAAUAGUGACAACUGGCAUGAUUGGUUUUGUGUCAGGGGAAUACGCGGGCUAACCUAAAAUAACUCUGGUAGUGCAUUAUUGGUUAGAAUAGGGCUCCUCUAAUAUGUAAGGCAAUUGAGGAAUUAAAUCUUACGGGCGUACUUAGGAUUAUUUCUCAAUUAGAAUAGUGGUUAACGGACGUACCUUAAUCUCCGACACAGUAAGGAUAGGGGUGAGCAAUUACGGUAAUUACCGAAUUACCGACCAAAUUCGAUUUGAAUUUGGUAAUUCGAAUUCGGUAAUUAGGUAAUUCGGUCAGUAAAUCGGUGGUAUCGAAUUAAUUAGAAUCGAAUUAGGGUCGAAAAUGGUUUUAUAGUUUUUGAAUUUGAAUUUACCGAAUUCGAAUUUAUUUCGGUAAACCGGUAAAUUAUUACCGUUUUCAAUUUCAAAAUUCCGAAUUAAGUUAAAUAGGAAAUAAUAUCCUUAUGUCCAGAUGUUCCAAUUUCAGACUUUUGCCCUAAAUUAGCAUUCGUUCCCAUCAGGUAAAAUCGUUCCCAUUGGCUCAAAUCCAUCUGCCCAGACGGUGCAGUCUGUGCAUAACCUAUGGUGUCUCCACAAUCCAAAUGCAUCUUGGUUAAGCGAGGAUACCGCACCAGAGUGCUCAACCCAAAGGGGUACUGUGCAUGUUUUGACCAUUCCCUGCAAUCUCUUUCAACCUUGAUUUGGAUCUCCUCCAGGUUGGGACAAUCCUCAAGACCAGCAGCAGUCAAUGGGGUUAGAAGCUCACUGCUCACCCACGCCAAUCCAGAGUGAAAGACAUUGCAGUCUGUCCCAUGAAUUGCUACAAAAUCCAUUGCCGCUGCUGUUAAAUUGCAGAGCAGAGCAAUUCAGAUCGUAGGAGUGUCUGCACCUCUUCUUCUGCUGCACAUGAUAUCACUGUCAUAAUCUCCAAAGUAGUUAACAGAUCCAUCCGACUGGUUCGAUGCCCUAAGAAGCAGUUUUCACGAAUUCGAUUAAAUCGGUAAAUUUUCGUUACCGAAUUCAAUUCGGAUUGAAUUCAAAUUCGAUAUUUCCUAUUUCGAAUGCGAAUUAGGUCGAAUAUUUCCAGAAUCAUUUACCGAAAAUUACCGAUUUCAACCUACCGAAUUACCAACUUCGAAUUCGAUGCUCACCCCUAAGUAAGGAGGGGUUGAUUGUCAUCGUUUGUUUGGCAGUUAUAACUUAUUUAUUAGUAAAUAAUUAGAAUUGGCUCUGCAUCGAUGAUCAAUUAGGUGAACCAUUGCUGAAAUUAUUUCUUGACUAGAUCCUUAAUUAUCACUCAUUUGAUUUUAGUAAUUUGUUAUUUAAUCUUUAGUAGUUUCUUAGAUUUUAGUUGAAUUUCUUUGAUUGUCACCUUCUAUACAAAAACACCCCUCUUGUCACUGUAAACCUGAAAAGAAAUAAUUACUUCCAGUCCCUGUGGAUUCGACCCUACUCACCGCUAUCUACUGAAAUUACUUUUAGUUUGAGCAGUUUUUAUUAUUGCACAGGCUGACACCCUGUCAAUUUUUGGCGCCGUUGCCAGGGACUGAUGCCAGAUUAAUUUAUUUCUUUUUGAGUUCAUCUUGUUUUUAUUUUAUUUUUUUAUUUAUUUUCUCUUAUUUUUUUAUAUAGUUUAUGGCUUCUAACACUCCGUAUUUUGGUGAUAGACUGGAUUUUGUUUCCAAGGAAGUCAAUAAGGCUUGUUUUUUUUCUAAGUUUGCAUAUUCAGAGACACUAAACUUUCUUAGAGAAAGAAUGGCUGCUGCAACCUGUGAAAUUUGUUAUGUCAGGGAUCAUUCAAUCAGUUUGUGCCCCGAAUAUCAAGACUACCUGAGUGACUAUCUCAAAAAAAAAUUUGGAGAUUCUUCACCUCGAUCUCAAACGUGGUAUGACCCUUAUUCAAACCGGUAUGAUCAAGGAUGAUGGGAUAACUCCAACGUUAAUUAUGAAGAGGGGCCAAUGAGUUUUCAACAGCAAGAAUCUCAACAAUCGUCAUUUAUGUCAGAAUUGCCCUCACAGACCAUCAAUGACUCUAAGGAAGGUGAGAGUGCAAUUAUCCUGACAAGUGAUAUGGAACUGCAAGAGUCUCAAGAAGGAGGAUCCAAAGAUGAAGUUGAAAAGGAAGUUGAAGUGGAAGACAUGAGACUCCAACAUCAAAUUACCCUAGUGAACGAAUCCAGUGAGCAAUUACUAAAUGCGAUGACACCCACUCCAUCCCUUAAUCUAUAUUCCCCAGACUCUUACUCUAUAACUUCUGUUAAUGAGAUUGAUUUUGUUAUACCGGAAGUGUUUGAGUCUCAUUGCAGAAAUGAUUUAAGAGUAGUUAUGGUCAAAUAUCUUGAACCGUUGAAUGCUCUUGAUGGAGGAGUGGAUGAAAAAUGGAGAUCACUGCUUGAUUAUUUGGCGCCAUCAACUAAUCCAUGGAAGACCAUAGCUCGUGUACUCAAGGAUUACUCUAUUUACGAGGGUUAUCAGGACUAUAUAACGGAUGAAGCAUUGAAACAAGCCACAAGAUUUUAUCCUGCAUGAACAAAACAUGAUAAUGUCUAGCCAAAGACAUUAAAGAAAGGCGCUCAUUGGGAGGCAACCCAAUUCCUUUUAGUUGUUUGUUCAUUUUUGUUUGUUAGUUUAAAUAUGUUUUUCCUUGGAUUUGACUGAUUUGUGGAUUCAAUUUUCGUUUUUGAUGAUUUGUAGGUGUCCUUCUGUCAUGACGCGCCCUCGUCAUGACGUAGGGAGAGCUCACGGCCAGAAUCGUCUGAAAGGAAUUCUUGCCCUCAUGCCGUGCCCGCAUCAUGACGUAGGGAGAGGUCAUGAUCAGAAUCGUCUGAAAGGGAUUCUUGCCUUUAUGCCGUGCCUGCGUCAUGACGUAGGGAGAGGUCAUGGUCAGAAUCGUCAGAAGGGAUUCUUGUCCUCAUGACGUGCCCGCGUCAAGUAACCUGGAGAGCUCUUUAUUCCGUGCCUUCGUCACGUGCCCACGUCACAAUCGCGGGAAAGGUAAGUAUUCAAAAAAGCUCAAGAACAAUUAUUGAUUUUCUGUUAAACUCUACUUUUGAAUUCCGAAAAUAAAUUUUGUUAAUAAUAAUAAAAAAAAGAUGAUAUAUGUAAAAAAAAAAAUUUUUUAAAUUUCAAGUAAGUAACAAGAAGAAAAAAAAAGAGGAGUCUUUCCGUGAAAAAAAAUUUUUUCUAAAAUGAAAAAAAAUGAAAAAGCAAAAGAAAAAAGAAAAAAAACAUAAAUACUAUUUUCUUUUUCUUUUCCUUUCUUUCCUUUUCUUUUUCUUUCUUUCAUUUCUUUCUUCUUCUUUCUUUCUCUUUUCUUUCUUUCUUCUUCCCUGUUUCUUCUUCUCUUUCGGCCGAGCACACCUCAUGCCCGCACCAUCUCCUUUACCCGCUACCGCCCCGCUGCUCUUGUGUCCACCGCUGCUUUCCACCACCAUCUCGCGCGUCCUCUCUCCUCUUUGCAGCAACCCCAGCAGCCACCGUGGUAAGCCGCUGCCUCUCGCUCUCGUCGCCGCCCCUCCUCACCAGUUCAGCGCUGAUGCACACCGUCCGAAACCUAUCACCCUCGCCUGCACACUCGCCGGCCACCGCCUUCUCUUUCCUCCCACUUCGCACGCCACCACCAGCUCCGCCCCUCCUAUCUCUCUCUCUCUCCUCGCGGCUCUCACUCUGCCCGCAGCCCACGGACGGCCAUCUUGCCACCUUGCCCAGCCAAAGCCAUCUCUUUCCCUCUCCCUGGCCGCAACCACCAUUCUGCCGACGUGGAGGUAUUCCAAUUGACAAAGCGGAGAUUCACAACGUAGAUAAGCGAAUAACGAACAUCGCCCGCCAAGGGGAAAGGAUGUCUUAGAACGUGGCCUCAUACCUUCACCACGUUGGUUUGCCUCCGUAGUUGCCAAAUACCCCUUAAUCACCCGAGAGGGAAGUUUCGUUAUCCUCUUCGCUUUAAUUAUUUUACUUCCUCCAUUAAGGACAAUGUAGGAUCUAGGUGUGGGGGGAGGGAUAACUAUGCCAGUUUUUAGUUUUCAGAUGUCCUUCUUUUAUUUCUAGUUUGUCAUUUGUCUAGUUUUCGUUUACUUUUUUUUUAAUGAAUACCAAAGUUUGAUGUUGGAUUGUUGACUCUAAUUCUGCUAUUGCCAAGUUUUAAUAAUAAAAGUGUAUCAAGUUAAUGUGGUUGAAUCCAAGAAUAUCUCUUUAGUCAAUUUUGGCGAUUGUUUUACUCUCGUAAUUUUUGAUUAACUUUUCUAGACAUAGGAAAUGAUUGUUGGCAUUUUCAUAUGAAUUGGUCCGAUUAUUAAUCUAAGUUCUCCAUAUUUGAAAAUGAGGCUAGCGGCUGCAAAUUUUCUUUUGAUUUUUGUGUUAUUUUGAAUUUUUUGUAUUAUUUGGCUGUGAAUAAGAGUUGACUAUACUCCGAUAGUAUUUACUACCGAGUAACCGGGGAUCUUCGCCAAAAGUGUCGAUUCUCGCGUCAAAAAGUAGUAAUUGCUAUGAGUACGUGGUCACGUGACGAUAGAAACUGAGUAACCGGACUCCUUCAUCUGGCAAAUGUUGGAGUUCGCGUCAAAAGACUCUAAUGGCUAGCGACUAAGUCUUUUGUUACUAUUGAGAAAAGCAAAAAAAAAAAAAGAGAAAAGUAGAAAUAUGUAAUAGAAAAGUGAAAGUUGUGUUAGUAUAUAAUAAAAGUCAACUUGUCGAUUUAUGGAUUUAAUGUUGAGAUUUUGGUUAAUAGUUGGACCAUUUGUUGAUAAAUGUUGUGUGUCAUUCCUCAUUCUCAGAUUAGUUAACAUGAAAUUAGAGGAGUUUAUGGUUUAGAAACUAACCGGAGUGAUGUUUCUUGGAUUUGACCAUUGAUGCUUGAUUAUUAUUUUUUAUUGGUAUCUUGGCAAUUUGUUGGAUAGAGCAAUAGCCACUAUAAAAUAUUGGUGUUUGUUUGUUGUUCUCAUGCUUGAGAACAAGCAUGAUUUAGGUGUAGGGGAAUUGAUAGGGUGCAAUUUUAUCAUUUAUUUUAUUACUAAUUUUCCCUAUUACCUGACCCAAUAUUGAUUAAUUAUUAGAUUCUACUCACUUUUCGUAAUUUACAUUUAUUUCAGGGAGUAGAAUGAAAAUGCCACAACUAAUGUCAAUUUGACAGUCAUCAGAAAAGAAUUCAAAAAGAAGACACUCAGGGACAUUUUUGGAACAAAAGAGACGCAAGGCCUUUUUAGUCAUUUUGGCCGAAGUCUUCCUGGAAGGGGAGAGCCGCCGCAAAUGAUAUCAAUAAAAGGGGGCAGCCGCAAAACAGGAGAAAGGCAUUAGAGUAGGUUUUUAGAUAGGAAAUAAAGUAGAAAACAGGAGUACUACUCUAGGAAUUGCUUUUGGUUGACUUUUCUUUCGUUGGCUUUUGCUUAGCUUUAACUCUCGUAUGUCAAUUAGGCACAAUUGAAUGAUUUCCCUGUAGCUUUUCUCUUGGACGUUGGCUUUUCGUCCUUUGUGGUUGCCGCAAGAUGGCCGCAGCUUUUGCGUCAGUUUUGUAUGGGUUUUUCCCAUCAACAAUGAGCUAAACCCCUUUAUCUAGUCAAGGGACAACGGAUGCUUUGGGUUAUCUAAAAUUGUGAGAUCGAUUUAAUUUUAUCUUUUCCUUUAUUUAUUGGUAUUCGCAUAUUCUUUGAUUUUAGUACUUAUGGUUAUUUAAUUAAUUGAUUAUCUUGGAUCCGGAUAAUUAGUUGAUUGGGUAAUCUAUUGUCAAUUAGGGUAUUAAAUCCGUAAUUGUUUAAUUGCUCUAAAAUAGUGACAACUGGCAUGAUUGGCUUUGUGUCAGGGAAAUACGGGGCUAACCUAAAAUAACCCUGGUAGUGCGUUAUUUGGUUAGAAUAGGGCUCCUCUAAUAUGCAAGGCAAUUGAAGAAUUAAAUCUUACGGGCGUACUUAGGAUUAUUUCUCAAUUAGAGUAGUGGUUAACGGGCGUACCUUAAUCACCGACACAGUAAGGAGGGGCUGACUGUCAGCGUUUGUUUGGCAAUUAUAACUUAUUUAUUAGUAAAUAAUUGGAAUUGGCUCUGCAUCGAUGAUCAAUUAGGUGAACCAUUGCUGAAGUUAUUUCUUAGCUAGAUCCUUAAUUGUCACCCAUUUGAUUUUAGUAAUUUGUUAUUUAAUCUUUAGUAGCUUCUUAGAUUUUAGUUGAAUUUCUUUGAUUGUCACCUUUUACACAAAAACCCCCUCUUGUCACUGUAAACUUGAAAAGAAAUAAUUACUCCCAGUCCCUGUGGAUUCGACCCUACUCACCGCUAUCUAUUAAAAUUACUUUUAGUUUGAGCAGGUUUUUAUUAUUGCACAGUCUGGCACCCUGUCAGUUUGUGAAAUUCGUCAAUUCUUUGUAGAAUUCUGUUUAGUGUACUGAAACAUAAGCGUAAUAUUCCACAACAUCAUCUUUGUAAGAACCAUAUUAGUUUUACCAUUGACUUAGCCUCCAAAGAGUAGCUUCAGUAACACCUAAUCAAAUAAACUUCUACUUCUUGUGAAAAUCAAUGUUCAAAAAGCACAUCGGGUUAUCAGAUGAACUUCCACACAAGGGUAAAAUAUAUCUUGACAGAUAAAAGGUAUUCUAACAGUUCAAAGAAACCUCAAGUCUCCAAUCUGCAUAGUCCAAUUAAGGAACUAAUUAUUAAUGGAUCAUUGCAAGAAGUCUGAUUUUGACCUGAAAUGAUGAUGGAUGACCAAAACUAUCAAGUACAAAAGCUGAUUCAUUCACUCUGCCUCUGACCCAAAACUGGAAUAUCUUCGUAACGCUUCUGUAAUGCAAUAUUUAUGAAUUUCAGUUAGACAUCCAUGAAAGCCACGACGAAGGUAAAGCAGACAUAUCUAUUAUUACAUAAAGCAGGAAAGUAAAAUGCUAGAAGCAGAGAAGAAUAUUGACUAUAAAAACACAUUUGCAGAACACGAGCCAAAUAACACGUAGGUUUAAUUUCAAAUGCUCACUCAAUCAUGAUACUUGCCAACCCCACUCGAAUACAGUUCCAGACACAAUUUUCAAAGCUUACUUUGAAAAUAAUAGAAACUUCGAUGGCAGAUUUUGAAAAUAAUAAUUAGCAUGACAUCAUAAGCAUUUCAGCUAUAGCAUCACACAUAAAAAUCUUAAUCCUGUUUUGCAUGAUCUAACAAAAAACUUAUCUGAACAAUUCUUACUAAGAAGCAACCAUAGAAAAUUAGAGUUCAAUCUCAUUCAGCUGAUUCACUGCAUGUUCUUUAGUAAUCAACAGUUUGACUUGGUCUUUAAGUGUCCAUGAAUGUUCAAUUAGUCAAAUAGCCAACUAAAAUCAGAAAAUAAGUCUUUGAAAAGAUGGAUCUAAAUUCAAAGGUUCCUAUAUUUAUCAAUCAAGCUAUGGUACAAGUCUAAGGACAAGGAACACAUGGUAAAUCAACAUUUGGUGCCACACUGGAUAACAUCGUAGUCAUGAGAAGAGUGACAGGCAUCUUAAAUCAUCAAAGGGUGAAUUUAAUCAGAUAACUACUAAACAAUACGCCAAAACUGUAGACAAUACGAGGCGCAAGAAAGACUAAAUAAUAGAAUUCCUUUGUUUGUAUACGAUACUCGUUUGAGCCUGUAAGAGCUAUGCUGUACAGUAUCUCAAAUGAAUUUCAGCUGCAAAAAGUUAUAAUCCUACACUAUCCAACAUCUAUCAUGAGAAGCGUGCACAAAAAACACAUCAAGCAUCAGUUUGGAAUUACCACAAUGACUAUUUUCUUCUCUCUCCAUUUCCUAAAACAACAAGAAGUUGAGCCUAGGCUUUUCAGCUAGUACUAUCUAACUUGUAUCAGUUGGAUGGGCUUAUUGUCCAACGUCUUGCUUUUAUAGCAUGCUACAAUCUUGAACAAAGAAAUUGCAGAAACCUCUAAAACGAUAAAAAAUUAAGUGACUAUUCACAUCAUAUUGAAGUCGUCCUGCUCAAUUCCCAACAGCCCCUAAAAACUUUCUUUUUUCCCUAGAAGAAAAUCCAAGUUUAAUCUCCACUGUAUUUCCACCUCAUAUUCAACUCUCACUUUCUCAAGGAGAAAAUGCAAUGAAUAAUUAAAGGAAAACAUUCCUUCCCUCAUUGACAAUGUAUCGAUUAGCAUUUUUUGAAGUAAAUAAAGCAAAGGAGCAUUAGACAGUAAACAAUCUUUCCUAAUUUCUUAUAACUAGAGGUACCAAAAUGGGUGAUUUGAGUGGGUUGGAUUGGUUAAAAUGGGUAAUAAGUAUAAGCGAGUCAACCCAUUUAUACCCAUUUAAUUAGAUGAAUAUAAAUGGGUAAGUCAAAAAAUGAAUUGGAUAACCCAAUUAUCCAUUUAUAACCCAUUUAUUUUAACUUUUCAUAAACUCAUUUAAAUUCAUUUUUGUAAACUAUGUUAUGAAUUUGUACCACCCUUUGCACCCAUCAUUAGUUUUAAAUAUUUACUUAUAAUGUUCAAUAAGUCUAAUUACCAAAUUUUUUUUCAUCCGUACUCUAUGUCGCAAAAUUAUAUACUAUUUAAUAAUUGAACAAUAAGAAUAUAAAAUUUUGAUCUAAGUACUAUAAAAUUUAAUAUAAAAACUUGAUUCAAAAAUUUUGAACUCCUAAUAUUUUUUUCGUGUGUAAAUUUAAAAUUUCAUUUUGAAAAAGUAGAAAAAGAUGUUAAAACUUGUCAUAAAUUGAUAAUGGUGAAAAAUGAGUAAAUUAACAAACCAAGAGAAAAUAAAAUGAAAAGAUAAAAUUCAUAAAUAAUAAUAAUAAUAAUAAUAAUAAAACAAAAGUAGUUAACAAUAUGAUAAAAUGAAGAAUCUGAAAAAAAAAUGGGUGGUGGAAGAGAGGGGGUUUAGGGAAAGACAAUUUUAAAUGGAUUAAUUGGAUUUGACACGUUACCUAAUAAUACACAUUUAUUAUAUGAGUAUUAUUGGGUAAUCCAUUUAUACCUAUAUACAAAAACUUAAGAUACUCAUAUCCUUCUAUUCAUGGACGAAUAUGGAUAAAUUUAAUUAAAUGAGUUUGUUUGCUACCUAUACUUAUGACAAUCAAAAUCCACUUUUAAGGCUAAGUAUCAUACAUCACUUUUUCUUUUCUUUUUUUUUGGUGAAAAUGUCAACUUGUAUAUCAUACAUCACUUGACUAUAGGACAUCUUCGUUUAAUGUCUAUCUCUGCCAUCUGUCAAACAAAUAUACCUCUCCAAGCCAUCCUGCAACCAUGAUUUUGUUUUUUUUUUUUUCCGGAAUUUAUCAACCUUAUAACUGGUCCUCGGAAGAUUCUAAAAGCUGGCGUGGCCAACGUGUUAGAUUAAGGGAAGAAGGGUCAAGGCCACCAACAGUACUAUCUUUAAAUUUAGCUGGAAAACAAUUACAGAAAAAGGAACUACCUACAUCCUGUAAGAACCCAAAAAUCAUAUGUACCAAAGAUUCAGGGAUCCAUCCCAAUGGCUGCAUCACAACAAAAAUGCUAAAGAAAAUCAUUCCCUACCAAUAGCUCAUGACCCCUCAGAAACCAAAUAUAACUAACAAUACAUUCUUUAUUGCCCUAUAAAGGAUAUCAAGCUAUGAAGGAGUCAACAUAGAAGAAUAGAAACAAAAAGGCACUCAAGGUCAUUGGAGAUUUUUUUUAAAAAAAAAUGCCAGGAAAGCAUAUCUAGCAACUACCCGUUCAGAUUAUUCUUACGGUUUCCCUAAAUCCUUUACCCCAAAUCUCCUCUCUCCUGUCUGAAAAUGUUACCAACAGUGCCCAGACCGUACAGAUGCCAUAUUCAGUCUAUGCAUCUAGGCGAUUUUGAAUUUUUCAAAACUAGGGUAUCGGUACAUGGCCAAUGAUCUAGAAUCGGCUAGAGGGGUGCUGUCUUGUGUCCUUUCUGUAAGUAGCGUAUUAUGAAAAUGUAAUGACUUAAAUGAUGAAAUGGCUCAUGCUUAAAAGAAUUCCAAUGUACAAUCUUUGCACCUUGAUUUUCUUUUCUAUUUUUGUUCUUGUGUUCAUUAACUUUAUGGUGUCUUAAGUGUUGGACAAACAUCGCAAUUCUGAUGGGUUUAGCCUUUUCCUUUCUUGGAUUCUCAGCAGCCGGCGUCAAUAAAGAAAAACAAAUGCUGGGGAGUUGAGAUUUUAUUGGUUUUGGGAAUUUUUCCAACGGAGCGGGUAAGAUGGGUAGCUGAACCGGCUGGAGCUAUUUCACUCUGGUUCAAAAGGCAACUAAGGAGUUUUUAAGCUUUUCAUUCUUUUCUCUUGGUAUCUUUCCCUUUUCCUUCUCCUCCUCACCUUUGAUGAAGAAGUAGUCAUGAAGUGUAAAGAAGAAAACUUUCAUCUAAUUAGGAGAUACUUGGGGGUGCAAUUUUCUGGGAUUUUUUUUUUAUAUCUUGAUGGCAUUACUCCUUCUAGUUGGAUCUCAUAAUUCAGAUAAUUUAAUCUCCAAUCACAAGAUGAUCCGUUCAAGUUGCUGAAAACAAAAAUAGAAGCAACAAAUUAUUGCUUCAUGAAUACAUGAAAAAUUAUCUCAUAAAUUUUGAUUCAUUUUGGUGUCAUUGCAGGUAAAGAUGCUAGGAUUGAGCCACAUAUUGAUCUUAACGUCUAUAUACGUCAUAACCUUCUUUCUCCUUAAUCUAUGUAGCAAGAUAAAAACACUUAGGCACAAAGUUACAUCUUCUAUUCUGGCUCCAAAAAUCACUAUCUAGAUUUUACAUAAUUAUACUUCUUGCUAACAUGUCGCGGCGUUGUUAAAUUGAUGCUUUAGGGAUACUUCCUUGGAAACCCACCAUUAAUCAUCACUAUCAUCACCUUCUUCUUCCUUACUAGCGGCUUCUCUUUCUCUCUCUGAUAUUAUUGCCGCUGCCAUGUGCAACAGUAGCAGCGGUUGCUGCUGCUACUGUCUUGAUCUACCGCGGCUUCCCUAUCAAAUGGCGGGCCAAAGGCCGGCCUUUGUUUAGCCAAGAGGUGACCGAGGUUGUACCGGCGACCUAGCAGCAAGGAAGGGUCAUGCGACCCUUUCUUGUUCUCUCCCCGAACCGCACCUUUUUUUUUAACCCCAUCAGCUUUCCAUAUUUUCCUUUCUAUACAAAAACUAACCCUAAAAUUAAGGAAGAUUCCUGCCUUGACCCGAACUCUUUAGAUUUUUCUUCAAAUUUUGCCCUUAAUUGAUUUAAUUACACGCUUUUAUGUUGGAGCGAAUAUGAAUGUUGUAUUCUUUAGUAGGCAAGUUAAUUAUUAUUAUUUUUUUUUUUUUGGACAAGAGAUGGGGUGGAAUGUAAGAAACGAGUAGGGAAAGAGGAAAGAAGGAUUUAAAUCCAAGUCCUCCAAUUCUUAGAGUCUUAAUCUUAGUUAAUUAAACUAUUAAACUUUUAUGCAGUAUUGUUUCAUAUGUCAUACUCUUCAUUAGGGUCUACUGAGUACUUAUGCGUUGAUUCAUAACUUUUGGAAAAUCUUCCGAGUAUCUAAUUUUUACUUUUCCAAUAUCCUUUUAAUAAAUUUCACAAUGAUCUAACAGAUAUUGAUGUAGUUCCAGACUAUUAACAUCAAGAUCUGAAAACAUAUGCUUUUGAGAAUUUUGAGAGUGUUGGUAAUAAAUAAGCACAUACUUAGUUCACAAAAUUUAGAGUAUUGUGGAGGCAAAGUUUGUGACGACCCCACCUCCCCCUAAGGCGUACCAAAGGGUUCAGCGGACCGCCUGCCCAGCUCUCGCCAGGACUCACUCACUAGCUCACGCGAAUCACAUACAUACACAUCCAUCAUGAACCAUAAAUAACAUUCUCAAUUCAAGCUUAUAACAUACAAGGAUAGGAAUCAGGGUACAAAGUCUCGAUACUCAAACUAGUGCAAAACGUAUAGAAUCUAAGUACAAAAUGUUUCAUUCGAAGAAUGCGCGAGUACAGGCCCAAAAGUCAAAGUUCAAAAACAAAAGGCUACGCUAGUCUUUCUCAAGUCUCACGCCUCGCUCGUACCCCUGUAAGGAAAACAAACUAACGGGGUGAGCCAAAACUCAGUGAAGUUCCCAAAUAUCAAAUUGGUCAACAAAUCAAGUGAUAACAAAGUAAUAGUGAAAUAGCGAGCAAACAAGUCAAAUCAGGAAAAUAGUACUUCAGCUAGCCAGGUAAUAUCAGGUUCACAUUCACAUGUAAGGAUACAGUAACCCAUGUCACGGCUCCAUUCCAGCUUGGUCAAGUGGUAGUUGACACUCCGUCAACUUUCAAGUCAUAACAAGUCCAAAAUAAAACUCCACUACACGCCAAUCUCCGUCCACCAAUCAACCCCCUUUUUCCGGGCCCGCACGGCAUACAAAACAUGGGUGGUAAUACUCGAGUAUACCGUUUAGUCAAGGAGAUAACACUCCACUCGACAUUACAAGUGACUCAGGGUUCGUUAUCUAAUCGACCAGGCCCUUGCCGGCUCGAUUCGAUUAACUAGCCACAGGGUUUCUGGAAUUCCAGGCAGGACAUAUCUCAAGUACAGGUAAAGCAAGUCAAGUGUAAUCAAUAGCAAGAACAAGUCAUAUUAGGGCAAGUGCGGUAAAGUACACCCUUGCCCUAUCAUUCAUUCAUCAUGUAAUCAUGUAAGUCAAGUAAGAAACAUAUGUACCAAGUACAAUCGGAUAUUUGGAAGCACUCGCCAAAAUAUGGUGCUUCAAGUAUUCACGUUCAAUUAUACUCCAGGCUUGGAGUCCAGAUCUGCGAUAAAAAUUCAGUUUGAGAACUUUGAAACACGAGUAGGAUUCGAAACUUAAACGUUCCGUUCAUUAAGAAUCGACCAAUUGAAAUUCAUUUGAAAGACACUCGUGAAACACUUGCUCGCUUUUUAAAUCAUAAGGUUUUGUAGCAUAGAUACUUGGAAAUAACACUUAAGUUGAAAGUAUAAGGAAAUACAAGUUUACAUUGGUCAUUAUGUCUUUUGUAAGGCCCGAAAACAACCAAUGAGACAAACAUAAACAAUGGAAAGAUCACAAACGAAACAAUAAGUAAAUAAAAAGGAAAGGAUUGCAAACCAAUUAACUACCCAACUCCUCUUGAGCUUGUAGAUUAAUUGAAACAAGCUACUUCAAGUUGAUGAAUUACAAUCACUCUUGUGUACAAAGGAAGGUUCACCUCCUCCUUACCCCAAGCAGCACUUGGUCAAGCCAGGACGUUUUACUAUCCCUCAGGACAACCCUCACAGAGCUACACUCAUGAAAGAUUCACUCACAAAUGAAAAGCUUACAAUGAACCUCACACCACUAAGACUACAAAUAUUCUUUUUGGAGUAUUUUCUCACUAAAAUCUCUCUAGAUCUUUUGUAUCUUCAGUGUGCCAAAGUUGUUUGAAGUAUCUGACCAACCACUAUUUAUAUAGGACCAAGAAAGAGCCUCAUUAAAGCUUCCAACGGAUAGAAAGUAGCUGAACAGUCAACUAGCCGUUGGUGUAGUGUCGGACAUCCGAUAGCACUGUUUUAUGCGUCCGACAGCAGGCAGUGAGUUUGAGAAAUUUUCUUCAAUUCUUUCGGACGUCCGAUAGGCUGGUUUUCUGCGUCCGAAGGUAUGAUGUAAAACUGAGAAUUUUUCUUCAAUUCCUUAGGACGUCCGAUAGACUGGUUUUCUGCGUCCGAAGAUACUCAAUGGUUGUCGGACGUCCGAUGCAGUCUUUUUGAGCGUCCGACAGCUUCAGCAUACUUUGUCUUCUUCCAAUUGCACUUGUUCAUGGAAUCAAAUAAUUUCAUAACUGAAAAUAUAUCUUGAAGAAAUAUUAGUAUCAUCCAUUUUUUGUAAACAUCAAAAGAUAGGGAUCAAGAUCAACAUCUUUUCCUCAAGGGUACAAGUUCGGCCAAGUCCUAACGUAUAACCCUCGAUAAACAAAGUAGCAAAGGUCCUCGCUAGUUCAAGUGAUAAUCGCUUAACCCUUACUCACGUUGCAAGUAUAGUUUUCUAGUCCUCGAGCAUAAAUUCGGGCAGCAUGCCCUUUGUGUUUACCUAAUUUUCCAGCCAUUUAGGCUUCAUUAUUUUUCCUCAGCCACAACCCAAAGUCACACAUAUCAUAAUUCAAGUCAAAAGCCGUUCCAUAGGCUCAUCAUAUCAUAAGAAUAAGAAUCACAAUAAUAACAAGUGCAGAAAUACAAUCUAGCACAAGACAGAUUUGACGUCUGGAUGCGGAAAUAACAUAUCCGAGGCUACGCUUAUCGGAUUGAGGCGCAACUUAUGCUAUUUCGAAGCUAAGACACAGGGCUACAAUGUUCAUGAAGGUCACUUAGUCCAGUUUCCAAUGCAACUUAGUCAAAUCCUCAAUUUACAGAACUAAAAUCUAACUCGUCGGCUAUCUAACCGCAUUGUACUGUAAUGGUCAUAUCUCAGGUUACAAAAGUCCGAUUCAGGUGUUCUUAGAGGCGUUUGAAAGCUAAGUCAGAACACUACAACUUUCAUGUUUUGGUAAAAGCUAAAUCAGUACGGAUCCUAGUGGAAAAACGUGAUAAACUGGAUAAAUUGACCAAACGGACUGCUGGGAAAAAACUUAAAAUAGUAAGGGUAUUUUGGUCUUUUCAUGACCUACGUUACUCCGAUUGAGUUGAAAUUUUGUAGGCACCUAUAAAAUACCAUUCUCUACAACUUUUAUGCUUUGACCUAAGGCCAAUUCGGCCUCUAACAUAGGGCUACAAAACCGGACAGAAAGGAAGCAAAAUUUUCCAGAAAUCUGGAAUUUUUAAUUUUUAAUGCAACCUUCCUCAAAUUCUUACUUCAAUCACUACCAAAACCCCUUAUACAACCUUAGUUACAACAUGUAUGCAUCAUACAUCAAAUUGGCAGCAAGUCCUCAAACCCUAGUUCAUCAAAUCAAAAAGGGGAAAACCUCCAAAACAUGAUAACAUCCAUGAUUCACCACAAAUUAAGUUACUAAGCUUAAUUUAAACAAGAUUGAAAGUAAAAAAUUAGAGAGAUCAUCUUCCUUACCUUGAUUAGAGUUCACCAAGUAUAUCCCUAGCUUCCCCUUUCCAAAAUCUCACCAACAAUCACUAACUAAUCACUCAAAGGUAAGUUUAAUCGGUUUAUUUCUUUUGUUUUCUCACUUAGUAGUUUGAUUCAAGAAGAAAUGGAGAGAUUUCCCUUGGUGUUUUCUUCCUUCUUUCUCUCGGCCAAAGGGUGCAGAAAUGAAGAGGAAAGUUGUGAAAUUUUGAUAAUAAAUAGAAAGUCCUUGUCUUGGUCAAGAAGCCUUUAGGUGGCGACAAGUCACCACCUUUCAUUUUUCUCUUUCUUUUCCUUGCAUUUCUAGCCUUAGGAUUUGGUCAAACCAGCUGCCAAGUAAGAAGACAUUUUGCUCAAAAGUCAAUAAGCUUGUUUGGUAAGAAAAAUGGUGGUCAAGUGGUGGCGUUCAAUCGGUAGUGCGCGGGACCCGCCGGUUCGCGCCGUUUUUCUUAAAAACACACGUACUAGGGUUUUUUCUUCCCAUUUACUAACCUUAUAUCAUUGCUCCUAUUCACAUAUUAUUUCUCACUUAAAAGUCACUUUUAAUCACCAAAUUGAUCCUUGGUCAGUACCAAAAAUUCAUCGGCAAAAAACAAUCGCGAAAACCCUAAUUUGCUCAAAUCUUGAAAACGAAGAAUAAAACCCUACUUUCUAGAUUCAUUUGCACUUAUUAUGGAAUAAUUGGAUAGUAGGGCUUUAAUAAAUGAUAAUUUUCAAAUAAAAGGAAAUUUUUAAGAAAACGUGAGGAAUUUUUCCAAUUCCAGUAAUUAAAAUUAGAGUUUCAAUUAAAAUAGGAAAGAUUUAGGAAAACCGGUUAGUUACAAGUAAACUAGGGUUUUGACUAAAAUUUUAGGGUUUCUAGUCUUUUAAAACAAAAUAAGGUUUUAAAUCAAACCCCAAAGAAAUACACUUUAAUAUUUUCUUCACAAACAACCUCCUAAUAUUCGGGAUGUUACAAAGUUAUUUGAUCUAAUGGAUUGAGACAUAGGGUCAAUCACAAAUACUACAAGAUCUGAGUCCUACACGGAAGACAUGGAAAGUUGGCGGGCAAUGAUUGGCUUAAAAUAUGAUAUUAACCGUGCAAUGAAGACGUUGACGAAUUAUAAUAGAGAGCCAAUCUUAUAGUGAAAACAUGGACGAAUUGUAACUGGGAGUCAAACAUACAAUGAAACCGUGGACAAUUUUUCAGCAAGAUAAAGAAGAUUAUGUACGUUAGUCUAAUUUAAUUUCAAUCUCUAAGCAAGCUUAAGUUCCACCAUGGGAUUUAUUCGAUUUUAACCUAUUUUAUAUCCUUUCAACUAGAUUGGUCCCAUAUUUGCUUCUGCUUUAGUCGGUUGAACCGACCUGUGUGGUCCAAUUUGUCCAAAAAUUGAGUUUGGAUGAGAUAUGAUUGAAAAAUUACACAAGAAACUUAAAAUUUGUAGGUCCAGCGUACCAAUGGGGUAGAAGGAAUUGUACUCUUAAAUCUCAAUACAUGUUAGUUCAAUCAUAGAUAUAGUUAAAAUUUGUUAGGUGUUGUUUCCCCCUCACACAUUAACCAUGUUUCCUGCACCCUUUCACAACUAUCUCCCCUCACACAUUGGGUCUUAAGUUAGAACAAUAUCAACCUUUUAUUCGAUGGACAACAUUGCAUUUAAUUGUCUAGUAGGAGGAGUUGCCAUUACUAUGCUCCGAUAACAAUGCUGGAUAGGGAUGGCAAUGGGACUGGGGGAUCCUCUCCCGUCUCCUACCCUGUUGCCAAACAUCUCCCCCUACACCCACCCCAUCCUUUGCCCUUGCUCCUCUCUCCCUUGCUCCUACUUCUGCUAGCUCUCCCGGGAUGUUUGCUGAGAAUGAUAAAAAAUUGAUCUUGUCGCUAUUUGCUUCCACAAUAACUAACAAAAAUUCAACAUAUCAACCCAUUGGGGGGGGUGUUCCUCAUUGCCUUCCCAAGUGCCAAAAGUUAAGGUUUCCCUCACACAAAAGCUAUGCCAAAAGUUAAGGUUUCUCUCACACUUAUAACCAAAUAUUCUAUCGCUUCCACAAUCAUUACAAAAUAAACUCAAAAUUUACCAUUCACAUCGGGCCGAGGUUGGAAUAACUUCAACCUUUCAUCCGACAAGCAACAUUUCAUUCAAGUGUUUAAAUUGAUUAAUUUUUCAUUUGAAGAUGAAAUUGGUCAAUAAUUGAUAGUUUAAAUACUAAUGUGUUAUGUUAAAAAGUUUGAGAACGAAAUAUAUCUAUGACAUCAAUUUUAGGGAUGAAAACUGUCAUUUUCUCGCUUUUCUGUCAAUAUGUUAAGUUAUAAGACGCUCUGGAUAAAAAAGGAAAAUGUUUCUUUGAAAACUUUCAUUUAGGAGAUACUUAGGAUGCGAGUUUAUGGGAUCCUUUAUACCUUCAUUGUGUUUGUACUCUUUCGUGUUGGACCUCAAUAGUUCAAAGUUCUAUGUUAUCUCCUGCCACGAGAUGAUCAGUUGAAGUUUGCUAAAUACAAAGAGCAUAAGAUCAACAAUUUGUAGCUCUAUGACUAUACGAUUAAUUAUUUAGGCCCUAAAACUUACCUUUGAUGAUCUUCUUUUUUCUACUCUACAUAAGCUAGAUUGAUUACAUGUUAUUUGGAGAAAAUUUUACCAUCCUGAGGUUAAAACUGAGACAUUUCCAUUUAUGAGGGAUACAUACUUGGACACCCAGCGACUAAAGUUCAUGAAAUUUUUUACUAUGUAGUCCUGUUUGCUUAUUGUAUGGGCCUGAUUUUUUAUGAACUCUACGAGGAAUUCUGAUGAACUAUGGGGGACGUGGGGGAGGGAGAGAAUAGGGAAGAUGGGCGGACGAGAAGGUUGCAAGCUAGUGACGUCGGCAUCGGCUGGCCGACAGUGGCGGGUUGAGGUGGGGGAAGGAAGAAAAUGAUGGAAAAAGUGAAAAAUUUGAGUGUUCUUCGAUAUUACGGGACGUGUACAUUAAAAAUUUUAAGAUGUUUAUAGAGGAUUACCGUAAACAAAAUAGUUAAAAAACUUGUCCAUUAAAAAUUAGACUAAAAACUUGCAUGCGAGACAGGUUCGGGAACUGACCGAGAAUUGUACUACAGUUGUAAGGCCACAAUUAUGGUAUUGGAUUUGGACCUCACGUAGAACUAUACUAUAAUUGCACGGAGUUUCGCGUUCCUCGUACAUGAACAGCAAUUGGCCCACGAUAAUUUGAAGCAAAACGAAAACAAAGGACGAAAAGAUUAAAACCGAUUUUGCCAAUUAACGUCAAAGAAAUAUUUUGACAAAAACUAGGAAAGUCUUCAUUGUUGGUCCCCAAAUCUGCAAUGAGCAAUGAUUAAACUUUUAUCUUACCGAAAAAGAAAAUUGAAAUCGACUAACCUAUUAUUGGAAUCCAAGCACGAAAUAAACAACUAAUAAAACAUCAAGUUAAUAACAAUUCAAAGAAAUGAGUCAAAAACAAGAAAAUACAAUUGACAGGAAAGAUUUAACAUGUUCAUAGUAAUAACCCAUUCUUUAUUAUGAAAAAAGUUCAUAUAAAAAUACAAUUUGAAUUCUAAACCCAAACCUUGUGUAAUAUUUCUCAUAUACCAAAGUCCUUUUUCUCACUCUCAUCUAUAACACAUGACUCCUUUUUGUGUACUUUAAUUUAUGAUAUGACAGUCCCCUUCAAUUUAAAGGAUAUAUUACUUGACAAAUAUUUCAAUAAUAAUAAAAAAAAUAACUUACCUGAUUUCCAAACGUAUAUAAAUACAUAUAAAUUACUAGAAACUAUUUACUUGUCACACAAAAUAAAAAUUGCCUAAACAAUAUAAGUAAUUUCCUAAUAAUCUCCACCAAAAAGCUUGAUAUGUAGUUAUACAUACCGAAUUAUUACGUUGUUGCAACGUCCAUACAUAGCUAAUCCGAGUCCAACCUUUAGCUGACUUAAGUUUGUAGGAUUUUCCUUUUCAGCAGCACUUACAACUUGAAAGUAAUCUUGGAUCCCUUUUUUAAUUCUACUCUCAACUAUUGAGGUAAUCAAGUAACAAAAUUUUUUUUUUUUAAAUAAUCACCAUACUUCUUACCUUCACAAUAUUGUCGCACCCAUGUGUGCCUUUUAAAAUCCCACCAUUAAUGAAAACCUCGUAACUUUGAGAGUCUCGGGAUGCAUAAGAGUUAGAUUUUUUUUUUUUUUUGGAUUUUUUUGAUACACGUGUCAUACCGCUCAAACAACAAAGCUGAAACACAUCCAACAUCAAGUACACACCAUUCGAAAUUGUUAAGAACAUUUCCACUAAAUUACAUCCUAAUUUAACAUUGGACUCUAUGUUUUUCCGUGUCCUCUAAAUCACUUGCCCAACUUUACUGUCAAAUAUCCUCUAUGUUUGUUGUCUUUCGAUCCUUUCCCUUCAAUGCCAAGACUUUAUGACAUGAACAUUCUUUUUCUAUUAAAUUAUUAAAUUGAAAAUUACCGCAACUCACUUAAUAUCAAUAAUUAACCAAAACCUAGCUAUGAUAUUAUACCAGAUGCUGAGAUCCAAGAGCAAACGAAGAAUCAUUGAAAAAUUAAGUGCAUGACAAUUUAAAGGAAGCAAAUAAAAAACAUGAAACUUCGAGCAAAUACAAAAUUAAUGUAGUUUGAUUCAAUUAUUAAAUCUAUAUCUAUAAAGACAAAACUCGAUAUGUGAGAAAAAUACAAAAAUCUAAUUUGAAUUCCGAUGCAACCGUACUAUGACAUUUCUCACGUAGCAGGGAGCUCUGCCCUCAUUCUCAUUACAUGCUACUACUUAAAACAAAAAUAAGGCAAUUUUCAUAACAAGGUAAAUUUUAUUCCGUCCUUACGCCACCUUUUAAGAAGAAAAGCUUAAGUAUGACACUUGGUAAAGAAAAGUGCACGUAACUUGAAAGUUGGGUGGCAACUUCAAAAAAUUCUUUAAUAAACCAAACUCGUAUAAUUUUUUAACACAUGUCAAGCAUUGUAUGAUUUAUAAUUUGCUUGAAACAUAUUUCAAGUCGUUAAAAUGAGAGAGCUCAAAGGAUAGGGAGACCUUUUUCUUCGUUUUUUUUUUGAUAAAUUCUUCUGAUGAGUUGCUUUGUUUUGAUCGAUCAUUCAUUGGUACUUGGCAGAUUUCUUCUUUUCGCAAACAUCUGGACAGUUAUUUAUGUACGGUUAAAAUUUAGGUAAACUUAGUUUUCAAAAAUUUAAUAGUUGAAAUUGUAUUACACACCAUUUGACCAAGCAAUGUAACGUAAUUACCAUCUUUGAAAACCGGUGCUAAGUCUUUUCCAUGCCCCUUUACAGUAAAGCUAUCAUUUCGAAUGAUAGUUCGAUCCGGCAAUGCAUGAGUUGGCAAACAAGACAUUUGUGUUGCUAGAGUCAGUUAAAUUUGUGGCUCCGAUAAGGCGAUUCUCUGUAGACAUAGCAGCUUAUGGGUUAGAGUUCCAAAGUUCCAAGAACUCUAUCCAAGUGUCUGGAGUCUAAAGUUGCUCUGCCUAGUGCCCUAAACGAGAGAUAGGCCAAGCUCUAUGGAGAAGUUGCAGGUGCUCCUAAGGCAUCCUAUCUUCUGCAACCUGUUCUUGCUGCUAGUUUAUGUUCAAGCAUGUUCAAACCUUGCUAUGGCUGGUUCCAUAGUUAAGUUUCUUCCAGGAUUUGAAGGACCCCUCCCCUUUGAACUCGAAACCGGGUGAGCCACUAAGUAUAACAUAUAUAUAUAUAUAUAUAUAUAUAUAUAUAUAUAUAUAUAACACUAGAAAUUAACAUUGAUCAAAACUUAGAAGAAAUAGUUGAUCCAUUUUCUGAUAUUAUCAGGUAUAUUGGGGUUGGUGAAUCAGAGGAUGUGCAGCUCUUCUACGCUUUUAUCAAGUCAGAGUCAAAUCCUCAAUCGGAUCCUCUUAUCCUUUGGUUAGAUGGAGGCCCUGGCUGCAGCUCAUUUAUUGCACUUUUCUUUGGGACAGGUGAAUUCUAAUGCCUUACACUUUGCAUUAGGUGUCACCCAAAAAAAAAAAAAUUGCGGCACUUUUUUGUUCUUGAUUUUGUAGAAUCUUGAAACCUGGAGGGUGCAAAAUUGUAAAAUGUUGAGUCGGAUUCAAAAUUUUUGAAAUCGAUAAUUUAAAAUUUGGAACUAAAAUCGGUUUUUCGAUUUUGAAUUAUGCAAAUUUGGUUCGAAUUCAAUAAUAGAAUUUUUCAAAUCAAAAUUCGAAAUUCUUAUUUCGAUUUUAAAUUUAUUUUUCAUGUGUAUGUAAUAUAACAUUUACAUAAUAAUAAUAAUAAUUUUAUAUUGAAAUUGGAAUUUAUCGAAUCUCGAAUUGAAUUCGAAUAAGAAAUUUUGAUGCCAAAAUUCCAAAAAAAUAUCGAUUUCAAAAUUUCAAAUUACUGAUUUCGAUUCCGAUUCACACUUCGUACUUGAAACUCUGCAAAAAGACAAAAGACGUUGUCUCGUUGAUGAAGCUUUGUGUAAGGUCUUUUGUUUUGUUUUUUGGGUAAAAGUAUUAAUUUUAUUGAAUAGCAUCCAAUUGUCGCGAGUAGCAACUGCUACAAACCUCUAUACAAUAACUAACUACACAUUCACAUCAAAUUAAAGAUGCACGUAGAAAAGCCCAAAAUAUAAACUAAGCUCCAAAAGCACACACCUAUAUAAUUUUCAUAUGUAUUGCUAUAAUAAAAUUUUUGAAAAACAUUUCUAAAACCAGCUAAUUCAAAUGGAGUCAUAAUCUUUAUUUGUCUUUAAUGUUCAAGUGAUGAUGACUGAUAAACUGGAGUGUCAGCAUUUGAUCAAGUCACUGGCUCGUGAUUUUCUGUUGCAGGACCAGUAACUUUCGAGCCAUUGUCGUUUGAAGGCACUCUGCCCAAGUUGGUAUUAAAUCCCUAUACUUGGACCAAGGUAAACUCAAGAAUUGAGUUUCUCUUAUCUUUUAUUUUAUAUCUUAGACUCAUGGAAGUGUUACUUAGUAUUUAUUAUUAUGUGAUGUAUUCUAGAUGAAAAGGUUACUGCGAUACAUAUAUAAAUAAGGUUCCAAAAUUUUUUUUUGAAAUAAUGUUCAAAUCAUCUUUAUCCAAACAAACCUAAUUUUCAAGAUUAAGAAUUCGAGUUGACUGCAAGAUUGAGAAUCAUUUCUUGUUACUUGUUAGGUUGUAAGCAUCAUCUUUCUGGAUUCGCCAGUAGGAACUGGUUUUUCUUAUGCUAAGACUGCACGAGCUUCUCAAUCUUCAGAUUUUCUAGCCUCUGAUCAAGCUUAUGAAUUUAUCAGGAAGGUACACGCCCAUCACUCAGCUAAUUAAUGAAUCGUAAGGCUUCAUGGAACUUUGGACAAUUACUAAUCAGGAAAAUGCCAUAUUUGUCUCUAGACCCUUUAUUAUGCAAAAAGACCAGUGUACUAUCAUUAAUUAUUUUCCUUCUGAAUAGUGGAAUCCUGCAUGGCUCCGCCCAAAAUUGCCUCCAUUGGAUUCAAGUUCUCUAUGAACACAGUUUUGAUUGUAUAGAACAGUUGACAGUGGAAGAUGAAUAAAAGUUGCAUCAAUAAUAAUUGGCUAAGGUAGUUGAUAGGGUGAAACACCUCAAGAAAGCUCAUCAAAAAGCCCAAUAUGUAAGUCAGGAAGCCAAUCCUGACCCAAAAGUUUAAGUCAUUAGAUCUCGGGCCUUUAUUUACAUAUUAAUCGCUCUUUCUUCAUCUCUCGGAUCAAUGUAGGACGUAAUCUUUUACUCACGAAUUUAACAGUAGUUUUGGCAGUUAGCGUCGUGGAAGCUAUAGUAGAGGAGGAGGUCAGGCAUGUGGCUCUUGCAUGGGGAAAGAUCCCAAAGUCUCAUGAAACUUGGCAAUCUCUAGAAUGGAAUAUCCCAUUCACAGUGUUUAGUCAGCGAAAUGUUUUGAUACCGGCUCCUAUGAUAAUUAGUUUAACAUGUAUAAUGAGAUAUUCUAUCUCUUAUACAAACUUGUCCCAUAUCAAUAAACUUACAGUUUUACCUUGAAAACAUAGUGGAAGAUGACUAAUUUUGAAUUUGAUGCUUACAAUUCAAUUUUGGGUACAAAUUUCAAUAAGCGGGGCAAUUUAUUGUCUUUUCGCAUGUUGUUGUAUCUUGACAGGGUGUCGAAGCUUGUGCAAUAAUAAAUACCUGCUCAAACUAAAAGUAAUUUCUGUAGAUAAUGGUAAGCAGGGUCGAAUCCACAGGGAUUGGGAGUAAUUGUUUCUUCUCAAAUUCACAGUGACAAUGGGGUGUUUUAUGCAGAAAGUGACAAUCAAAUAAAUGCAAAUAAAAUCUAAGAAACUACUAAAAAUUAAAUAACAAAUUACCAAAAUCAAAUGAAUGAUAAUUAAGGAUCUAGCCAAGGAAUAACUUCAGCAAUGGUUCACCUAAUUGAUCAUCGAUAAGCAAAGGCAAUUCCAAUUAUUUACUAAUAAAUAGGUUAUAACUACCAAACAAGCGAUGGCAGUCAACCCCUCCUUACUGUGUCGGUGAUCAAGGUACGCCCGUUAAUCACUGCUCUAAUUGAGAAAUAAUCAAGGUACGCCCGUAGAAUUUAAUUCCCCAAUUGCCUUACGUAUUAGAGGAGCUCUAUUCUAACCAAAUAACGCACUACCAGGGUUAUUUUAGAUUAGCCCGCGUAUCCCCUGACACAAGUCUAAUUAUGCCAGUUGUCACUAUUUUGAGGCAAUUAAACAAUUACAGAUUUAACACCUCAAUUGACAAUAGAUUAUUAAAUUAACUAAUUAUCCGGAUCCAAGACAAUCAAUUAAUUAAACAACCAUAAGCACUGCAACCAGGGAAUAUGCGAAUACCAAUGAAUAAAAAGAAAAGAUAAAAUUAAAUCGAUCUCACAAGUUUAGGCGACCCAAAGCAUCCGUUGUCCCUUGACUAGACAAAGGGAUUUAGUUCAUGUUUGCAGAACAAAGCCCAAACAGAAUUGCAGAGAGAGACGCAGCCAUCAAUCAGGCAAAUGCCCAAGUUCAAUUCGUUUGAAGGAGUAAGCUAAGCUAUCCUGCCAUGCGUAAGAAAAGUAAAAAGCAAAGCUCCAGGAAAAGUCAACAAUAAAGCUCCUAAGCUACAGACGAAAGACUAAGCAAAGCCAGCCAUCCUUUCCUCUCUGAAGCAUUCUACUCUAAUGCCUCACCAUUGUGCGGCGGCUCUCCUCCGAGAGGAGGAAAAUUCGAGAGCCCAAGAAGACUUCGGCCUCCUCCUUUUAAUGCUGUCUGCGGGCCAAUUACCAAGAAGGGUUGUGGUUUGAUAUUCCAAAAAUGUCCCUAGAUGCCUGCUACUUGAACUCUUUCUUGAUAACUGUCAAAUUGGCCUUGAUUGUGAUAUUUUUGUUCUACUCCCUGAAAUAAAUAUAAAUUACGAAAAGUGAGUAGAAUCUACUAAUUAAUUCACAUCAGGUCAAGUAAUAGGGAAAAUUAAUAAUAAAAUAAAUGAUAAAAUUGCAACCUAUCAAUUUCUCCCACACCUAAACCAUGCUUGUCCUCAAGCAUAAGAAAAGUACACAGACACCAAAAUUUGAUAAUGGUCAUUGCUCUAUCCAACAAAUUGCCAAGGUACCAAGAAAAAUAAUAAUCAAGCAUCAAUGGUCAAGUCCAAGAAACAUCACUCCGGUUAGCUUCUAAACCACAAACUCCUCUAAUUUUAAGUUAACUGAUCUAAGAAAAAGGAAUAACGCAUAACAUUUAUCAGCAAAUGGUCCAACUAUUAACCAAAAUCUCAACAUUAAAUCCAUAAUUCGGCAAGCUGACUUUUAUUACACACUAAUACAACCUUCACUUUUUUUUUCACAUUUUUUCUACUUUUCUCUCUUUUUUUUUAUUUUGAUUUUUUUUCAAUAGUAACAAAAGACUUAGUCGCUAGCCAUUUGAGCCUUUUGACGCGAACUCCAACAUUGGCCAGAUGAAGGAGCCCGGUUACUCAGCUGCUAUCGCCACGUGACACGUACUCAUAGGAAUUACUACCUUUUGACCGCGAGAAUCAACACUUUUAGGUGCAGAUCCCCGAUUACUCAGUAGUAACUAAUAGCGGAGUACAGUCAAGUUUAUUCAUAGCUAAAAAUCACAAAAACUCAAUAUAACACAAGAACCAAAAGAAAACUUGCAUCAGCUAGCCUUAUUUUUAAACAUGGAGAACUAAAGUUAAUAAUCAGACCAAUUCACAUGAAAAUGCCAAUAAUCAUUCCCUAUGCCUAGGAAAGUUAACCAAAAAUUGUAAGAGUAAAACAAUCAUUGAUAUUCACCAAAGAGAUGUUUUUGGAUUCAACCACAUGAACUUGAUACUCUUUUAUUAUUAAAACUUGCAAAAGUAGAAAUAGAGGCAAUAAUCCAACAUCAAACCUUGGCAUGCACUUACGAGUCAAUCACAAAAGAAGAAAAAGAAAAUGAACGAAAGACACUAGCACCAUAACUGCUCCCCCCACACCUAAAUCCUACAUUGUCCUCAAUGGAGGUAAUAAAGUAAUGAAAGUGAAGAGGACAACGAAACUUCCCUCUUUGAGUGGCCAAGAGGUAGGCGGCGGCAGUGGAGGAAACCAAUGUGGUAGAAGUACGCGGCCAAGGUCUGAGACAGCUCAACUCAAUUCAACAGCAAAUGCAAAACUCUGUCUAUCCAAAAUCUCAACAAAUAGCUCCAGUUGGCCAGUUAAUGCCUUAACUCAGAAUCAGCAAUUUCAACAUUGAGAGUUUAGGUAUUUGACAAUAACAAUUCAGUCACAAGUUCUUGGCUGUCAAUUAGACAGCCAAUCAGAUAGAAUUACCAAAUCUAGUCAAAAUACCCCAACCAGUACCAUUGGUGCACCCACAGAUAAUGAAGCAACUUAAAUGGCAAACCCAAUCAACAAAAUGUACAUGUGAGGCACCCAAGGUCUAUACAAAUGUCCCAACAAAGCAGCGAUUGCAAUCAAUAAUCAGUAGUGGUCCUAAUUUACUCAAAUACAGAAUUAAUGCAGCCCAACAAUUCAACUGGAUGUACCCACCUUGACAAGCAAAGCAAGUGGCACAGGUUUCCCAAGUCAACAGGCAAAAAAAAAAAAAAAAAAAAAAACAGGAUUAAUCAACUCAAAGUCCAACAGAGAGUUCAAUUGAUUCCAAUCAUCAAUCCCAGCAACAUACGUUCCAAAUAAGCAAGCGGGUGUUAAGGAGAGGAGGUACCAAAUUUCAAUUUCAGUUACUCCACCAGUACCACUGGUGUAGCAAAUAAUGGAAGAGGAAUCGCACACGACCAAUACCAAAUCACCGGUAAACCAAAAUAACAACUAACACUGCCAUCACUUGAGAAUCGUAACAAUCAAAACACAAACAAAGCUGCCUCCCAAUUAGCAAAUGACAAUUCACAAAUCCAGCCCACCCAAAAACUGGACAAAUGUACCCAAAAGUUCAACAAAUAUUCGCAAGAGUAUGGCAAACUAGGAAUGAACAAGAUCUGGGUCAAAAUAUCACAACCAGUACCACUAGUUUACCACACAAAUUGAAGAAAUAACCCCAACGGCCAACAAUACCAAUUAUUGAAAAACCAGACAGCACCAAUGAAUAUUAAGAAAUUGGGGAAUAAAUUCCAAAUACCUCCACCGAAGAGAGUAGCGUGCGAGGUUGGCUGGGGCUGUUGGCAGCGUCCAAGUGCUGUCGGUGGCGGCGUUGGCUCGCGAUGGAGCUGCGACGAAGCUGGCUAUGCGAGCAGAGAGGGACCAGCGGGCUAGAGUGGCGCGCGCAGACAGUGGAGGGAACUUCAGCAGCGGCUGCGGUGGAGAGGUGGGUGAGCUGUGAUGGCGGCGCGCGGGAGAUAGGCGGCGCUGCUGCUGCGGUGAAAUCGAGCUGGUGGUGGCGCAAUCUGGCGUGCGGUGGUGGAGCUUCGUGCGCAGAGCAGCUGGGUUGCGCGCGAGGUAGAGCUCGGGUGGAGGUGGCGGCGGUAGCUCACGGUGGAGCUGUGGGCAGAGUGAGGGCCGCGAGGGAGUCUCGGUCGACCCAGAGGAGAACAGGGGAGAGGAAAGAAAGAAGGAAGAAGAAGAAAGAAAGAAAGAAAAAGAAAGAAAAGAAAAAGAAGGAAAAGAAAAGUUUUUGUUUUUUUUUUUUUUCAGGGAAAGACUCCCCUUUUUUUUUCUCCUUGUUACUUACUUGAAAACAAAAUUUUUUAAUUUUUUUUUUUGAAAUUUUUUUCAUAUAUUAUCUUCUUUUUUUUUAUUGACAAAAUUUAUUUUUGGAAUUCAAAAGUAGAGAUUAACAGGAAAUCAAUAAUCGUUCUUGAGUUUCUUUGAAUACUUACCUUUCCGCGAACGUGACGCGAGCGCGUCAUGAGGGCAAGAGAACUCCCAGAAGUUUCAGAAGUUUCUGAUCGUGAUCGUCCUGCACAUCACCACGCGGGCACGUCAUGAGGGCAAGAGAGCUCCCAGAAGUUUCAGAAGUUUCUGAUCGUGAGCGUCCUGCACAUCACCACGCGGGCACGUCAUGACUGAAGGGCACCUAUAAAUCAGCAAAAACGAAAACUGAAAUCCAAAAUCAGUCGAAUUCAAGGAGAGCACAUCUAAACUACCUCACGAAAAUGAACAAACAAUUAAAAGGAACAAUUGGGUUGCCUCCCAAGGAGCGUUUUUCUUUAAUGUCUUUGGCUAGACAUUAUUAUGUUUUACUCAUGGAGGAUAAAAUCGUGUGACUCGUCUUAAUGCUUCAUCCUCUAUAUAGUCCUGAUAACCCUCGUAAAUAGAAUAAUCUUUGAGCUUACGAGCUACGGGCUUCCAUGGACUAGUGAAUGACGCCAAACGAGUCGAUGAUAAUUUGCAUUCUCCAUUCACUCCUCCCUCACUUGCAUUUAUUGGUUCAAGAUAUCUUGCCAUCGCCAUUCUUAAUUUAUUCCUGUCAUGAAAUUCAAAAUUGUCUGGUAUAAUAAAGUCAAUUUCGUUAACAGGAAUUGAAGAGUAAGAGUCAGGAGAAUAUUGAUGAAGGAGUGGAGGAGAUGUCACCGCAUUUGGAGAUUGUUCACUGGAUUCAUUCACUUGAAUGGGUUGCGGUUGGGGUUCCAUUUCUUCCUUUUCGGCUUCUUUUUCAACUGCAUCUGUAGAUUUCUCAUUUUGACACUCUUGCAUCUCCUCAUCACUAGUCAGGCAAAUUGCACUCUCAUUUUCUUCUAGAUCAACAAUGGUUUUCGAGGGCAAUUCUUCCAUUUGAGAAGCCAAUCGAUUCAUUCUGGAUGUCAAUAGACAUAGUUGAUUCGCCAGAUAACUCAUUGCAUCCUUCAUCAUCUCAUUCCUCAUUUGUGUCUCCUGUUGGGAUUUGUAUGUAUUAAUAAAUAACUCACCCAAUUCCUGAAAAGACAUACCUGACAGGGACGAUAGUUGUUGAGACUCUUGCUGUUGAAAAUCCAUUGGCCCGGUCGCAUAAUCAAAAUUGGAAUUAUCCCACCAUCCUUGAUCAUACCCGUUUGAAUAAGGGUCAUACUGCAUUUGAUAUUGGGGUGGAAAAUCUCCAAAAGUAUCAAUUGGAGCACUUAGAUUGUCUUGAAAUGCGGGGCAUGUGUCAGUUGAAUAACCUGAGUCAAAAUAAGUUCCACAAUUUGCAACAGUCCAUUGAUCAUUAGGAAAAACAUGAGUCUCAUACUGCUGAAAAUUCAUUGGCCCCGUUGUAUAAUUAUAAUUGGAGUUAUCCCACCAUCUUUGAUCAUACCCGUUUGGAUUAGGGUCAUACCACGUUUGAGACCAGGGUGAAAAUUCUCCAUAAUUAUCGAAUGGGACACUCAGAUUAUCUUGAUAUUCGGGGCACAUACCUGUUGAAUGAUCCCUGGCAUAACAAAUUUUACAAGUUGCAGCAGCCAUUCUUUUUCUAAUAGAGUUUACUGCCUCUGCAUAUGCAGACUUAGCGAAAAAACUAGUCACAUCGCAUUUUCCGGAAACAAAAUCCAGUAUCUCACCAAAAUACGAAGUGUUAGAAGCCAUAAAAAAAAUAAGAGAAAAAUAAAAAUAAAUAAAUAAAAAUAAGAUGAACUCAAAAAGAAACAAAUUAAUCUGGCACCAGUCCCCGACAACGGCGCCAAAAAUUGACAGGGUGUCGAAGCCUGUGCAAUAAUAAAUACCUGCUCAAACUAAAAGUAAUUUCUGUAGAUAAUGGUAAGCAGGGUCGAAUCCACAGGGACUGGGAGUAAUUGUUUCUUCUCAAAUUCACAGUGACAAGGGGUGUUUUUAUGUAGAAAGUGACAAUCAAAUAAAUGCAAAUAAAAUCUAAGAAACUACUAAAAAUUAAAUAACAAAUUACCAAAAUCAAAUGAAUGAUAAUUAAGGAUCUAGCCAAGGAAUAACUUCAGCAAUGGUUCACCUAAUUGAUCAUCGAUAAGCAAAGGCAAUUCCAAUUAUUUACUAAUAAAUAGGUUAUAACUACCAAACAAGCGAUGGCAGUCAACCCCUCCUUACAAUGUCGGUGAUCAAGGUACGCCCGUUAAUCACUGCUCUAAUUGAGAAAUAAUCAAGGUACGCCCGUAUAAUUUAAUUCCCCAAUUGCCUUACGUAUUAGAGGAGCCCUAUUCUAACCAAAUAACGCACUACCAGGGUUAUUUUAGAUUAGCCCGCGUAUCCCCCUGACACAAGUCUAAUUAUGCCAGUUGUCACUAUUUUGAGGCAAUUAAACAAUUAUGGAUUUAACACCUCAAUUGACAAUAGAUUAUUAAAUUAACUAAUUAUCCGAAUCCAAGACAAUCAAUUAAUUAAACAACCAUAAGCACUGCAACUAGGGAAUAUGCGAAUACCAAUGAAUAAAAAGAAAAGAUAAAAUUAAAUCGAUCUCACAAGUUUAGACGAUCCAAAGCAUCCGUUGUCCCUUGACUAGACAAAGGGAUUUAGUUCAUGUUUGCAGAACAAAGCCCAAACAGAAUUGCAGAGAGAGACGCAGCCAUCAAUUGGGCAAAUGCCCAAGUUCAAUUCGUUUGAAGGAGUAAGCUAAGCUAUCCUGCCAUGCGUAAGAAAAGUAAAAAGCAAAGCUCCAGGAAAAGUCAACAAUAAAGCUCCUAAGCUACAGACGAAAGACUAAGCAAAGCCAGCCAUCCUUUCCUCUCUGAAGCAUUCUACUCUAAUGCCUCGCCAUUGUGCGGCGGCUCUCCUCCGAGAGGAGGAAAAUUCGAGAGCUCAAGAAGACUCCGGCCUCCUCCUUUUAAUGCUGUCUGCGGGCCAAUUACCAAGAAGGGUUGUGGUUUGAUAUUCCAAAAAUGUCCCUAGAUGCCUGCUACUUGAACUCUUUCUUGAUAACUGUCAAAUUGGCCUUGAUUGUGAUAUUUUUGUUCUACUCCCUGAAAUAAAUAUAAAUUACGAAAAGUGAGUAGAAUCUACUAAUUAAUUCACAUCAGGUCAAGUAAUAGGGAAAAUUAAUAAUAAAAUAAAUGAUAAAAUUGCAACCUAUCAUAUCUUAAUGUGUACAAUUGGUUUGCUAGGGCCUAUAGUACACAGUGCAAUUACAACUGCCAAUUAUAGAGGCUCGGGUGGGCGAUAUUUGUUGCGUUUUUAUCCAUUUGAACCUUGAGUUAAAAGUUUGAUUUCCCUUGAAAUGGGAAAGAAAUUAUUGUUAAAAAGAUGUUUACCUUUUACAAGAUUGGUUUUGAUAUUUGAUUAUACUGCAGUGGCUACAUGAUCACCCAGAGUACAAGUCGAAUCCAUUCUAUGUUAGUGGAAUCUCGUAUGGGGGCAUUCCUGUUCCAAUAUUAACUCAACUUAUAUCAAAUGGUAAGAUUUUUUCAAUGUGGCUCUUUACCCUGGGGAAGUUUUUUGGUUGUGUUACAAUCUGAUUAUUGAAAUUGUUAUACAGAGAUACAUAGGCGUUGUAAGAGAUCUGAAUAUACUAUAAAUGCUUUCUGUAAGCUUGUAGUAUAUGCGAAGUCUCUUUAGGUAGGAAUAUAGUUGCCUCCCAAAGAAAUACCAUUCCAGUAGAAAUGUGUUGCCAAUCCAAAGAUAAGAAGCUUGGAUGUCACACACUCCAUUUGAACAAUGAUUUCCAUUGGGAGUUCAGUCUAGAUUUUAUCAGGACAACUUCGUACGUCUAGCAUUUCGAAUGGGGUAAAGAAUAAAGAAACUUUACAGUUUUUAACUUGGGACUUUGCUCGUGAAUUUUGUGGCAAAUUUUUAUAUAAGCUUAACAAGUGCAAUUGGGUUGUGAGGAAUGAUGGCUUCUAUAUCCGUGAGAAGGUAUUUCUUGCGUUUAUAAUAGGUUGAUGAAAGUGAAAGUGUGGUUGUAGGUCGCAAAUUAUAUUUUGUUUUGGCAGGAAAAAAGAUGAACAAGAUAAUUACAUACAAUUGCCACCUUAAGCUAAAUGGGUUUUAUUAACAUAAUGCAGAGCUUUAAGACGGGGAAAAAUGGUUAAAAGUUCCCUCAGAAAUUUGCGGGCUUUUUAUUCUUUUCUGUCCAUAUGUUAAGUUAUAAGACGCUCCAGAACAAAGCAAGAAAACGUUUCUUUGACCAGUUCAGAUUUCUACAUUAUCUCCUGCUACAAGAUGAUCAGUUGAAGUUUGCUAGAUACAGAGAGUAUAGGAUCAAUGCUUUGUUGCUCUAUGACUAUUAAGCCCUAAAACUUACAUGUAUUUUGGAGUUAUUCCAGG
RNAcentral lists this long non-coding RNA (36876 nucleotides) under Coffea arabica (coffee). Its description in RNAcentral is "long non-coding RNA (CARA_LNC000302)". The record is from RNAcentral. Lineage: Eukaryota; Viridiplantae; Streptophyta; Magnoliopsida; Gentianales; Rubiaceae.